CCACAAGGGGUGAAGCCUGCGGUUCAAUUGGAGUCAACGCCAGGAAACUUACCAGGAGAGACAGCAGAUUGAGGGUCAGGCUGAAGACCUUACCUGACGAGCUGAGAGGAGGUGCAUGGCCGUCGCCAGCUCGUGCCGUGAGGCGUCCUGUUAAGUCAGGCAACGAGCGAGACCCCUAUCCGUAAUUGCUGACUGUUCAGAGAUGGAUAGAGGCUAGUUACAGAGACUGCCGCUGCUAAAGCGGAGGAAGGAAGGGGCCACGGCAGGUCAGUAUGCCCCGAAACUCCUGGGCCACACGCGGGCUGCAAUGGUAGGGACAAUAGGUUCCGACCUCGAAAGAGGAAGGCAAUCCCGAAACCCUACCCCAGUUGUGAUCGAGGAUUGAAACCCGUCCUCGUGAAUAUGGAAUCCCUAGUAACCGCGUGUCAUCACCGCGCGGUGAAUACGUCCCUGCUCCUUGU
Molecule: ribosomal RNA, 461 nt
Filed under: uncultured archaeon
Lineage: Archaea
Description: bacterial SSU rRNA
Rfam family: Archaeal small subunit ribosomal RNA
Source: RNAcentral